CGCUGAACUAAGCAUAUCAAUAAGCGGAGGA
This 31-nucleotide ribosomal RNA is filed under the name Tuber indicum. RNAcentral's name for it is "partial 25S ribosomal RNA". Lineage: Eukaryota; Fungi; Ascomycota; Pezizomycetes; Pezizales; Tuberaceae. The record is from RNAcentral.